UCCUUUUCUUUUUGGUUUUAAAAAACAAAUUAAAUGGCUUCAUUUAAGAAAAGGGCUCUGCCCAUUAACCUGAUCCAUGCACACAUUUUUACCCUAAAUGGGUAAAUUCCACAUAUGGUUCCUCACUUUUGCAUUAUUAUGUGAUUGGGCCCUUUUUGCAUGUCUUUUGUUUUUUAAAUUUUCCCUGUGAUUUAUGUGCUGUUACGGUUUGGUCCAUGUUGAAAUGCUACGUUCAGGGACAUGGGAUAAUUUCAUUUUUAGUCCCUAUAAGUUUGCGCGCAUUGUAUUAUAUGAGCCUUAACCCCCUGAGUAGUAGGGUAACAGGCUAAAAAUUGCAGAUCUUGUCUCCAUGUGUCGGCUAUGGAGCAGAUCAAAAAUAGCGAUUCUUAUCUCCAUGUAUCGACUAUGGAGCAGAUUUAAGCCAUCGGCCUUAUCUCUCUGAGAUAACAAGAGAGCAGGUUAAAGAUACGAGCCUUAACCCCCUAAGCAGUAGGGUAACAGGAUGAAAAUUGCAGAUCUUAUCUCCAUGUAUCGGUUAUGGAGCAGAUCGAAAAUGGCGAGUCUUAUCUCCAUGUAUCGACUAUGAAGCAGAUUUAAGCCACCGGCCUUAUCUCUUUGAGGUAGCAACAGAGCAGGUUGAAGAUACAAGCCUUAACCCCCUAAGCAGUAGGGUAGCGGGCUGAAAAUUACAGAUCUUAUCUCCAUGUACUAGCUAUGGAGCAGAUCAGAAAUGGCGAGUCUUAUCUCCAUGUAUCGGUUAUGGAGUAGAUUUUAGCCACCAACCCUAUCUCUCUGAGGUAGCAAGAGAGUGAGUUGAAGUUACAGACUUUCCUAAAGCUGGUGUAAGUCUACUUGAAGAAGAUGAGCAACAAAGAAGUUAAGACUCAGCAAGACCAGGCAGAAUUGACCCAUUUGGAGUCUUUACUCUAUUCUCGUUACACGAUAAUGAGCAAAGAGGGGCAGUUGUAGAUGGCCCAUUUCGCCCGGGCCCAAACCAAUACUAAAAUUAAAAUAAAAUACCCUCAGACCCAAUUCAAUCAAGCUCAAUACAAACCCAAUCCUAAAACCCAUUUACAAUGUGGCCCAAUUGGCCCAAAGCUUAAACAACUUCAGAAAAAAAAAACCCUAAGCAGACCACCCUUGCGCCGCAGCCAGCAGCGCGCCUCCCCCGCACGUCGCGCGUUUCGUCCUUGUCAUACGCUCCUCCACCAAGGCACGUCAGAGACGUGCUCGAUUACGCACCUGCAAUAGUUGAAAACAGUUGUAAAAAUCGGCUAUAAGACUGAAUCAAAUCGUAUGUAAAUGAGUUUUAUUUUUCAGAGAAAAUAUUACGAAUACAAAGGAAAUACAGAGGAAAAGGAAAAACUUCAGAUCUAAAAUAUUUGGAAGGUGAUUUUUUUUAUUUUGGUUCUCUAUUCUUUCAUUUCAUCCUUUUUUGUGUUGUUCUUUUUAUUUUUUUUCAUACAAACGAAAAUAAAAAGGGAAGGAAAAAGACUUUACCUAAACCCCCAAUCGCAGAGCCGAAAAGUGGUUGAAAUUUAGCUCAAAAGUGGCGGUCGAACUGCUUCUCUUUGACCUGUAAAAGAAGAGCAAGAGGAAAGGGGGGAGUUUAAAAAGGGAUAAUCCCUUGUUUUUAAGCAAUAAUGAAAACAAGGUUUUAAUGUCCUUUUCUUUUUGGUUUUAAAAAACAAAUUAAAUGGCUUCAUUUAAGAAAAGGGCUCUGCCAUAGAUCUAAUCCAUGAGCGCAUUUUUACCCUAAAUGGGUAAAUUGCACAUCUGGUUCCUCACUUUUGCGUUAUUAUGUGAUUGGGCCCUUUUUGCGUGUCUUUUAUUUUUUAAAAUUUUCCCUGGGAUUUAUGUGCUAUUAUGAUUUGGUCCAUGUUGAAAUGCUGCGUUCAGGGGCAUGGGAUAAUUUCAUUUUUAUUCCCUAUAAGUUUGCGCGCAUUGUAUUAUAGUCCUCAGUGCUGU
This 1968-nucleotide long non-coding RNA is filed under the name Gossypium barbadense (sea-island cotton). Its description in RNAcentral is "long non-coding RNA (GBAR_LNC001105)". The record is from RNAcentral. Lineage: Eukaryota; Viridiplantae; Streptophyta; Magnoliopsida; Malvales; Malvaceae.